Molecule: ribosomal RNA, 258 nt
Filed under: uncultured bacterium
Lineage: Bacteria
Description: partial 16S ribosomal RNA
Rfam family: Bacterial small subunit ribosomal RNA
Source: RNAcentral
UACGGGGGGGCAAGCGUUGUUCGGAAUUACUGGGCGUAAAGGGCGCGUAGGCGGUCAGACCAAGUCGAGUGUGAAAUUCCAGGGCUUAACUCUGGCACGCUCGCUCGAUACUGGUCGGCGUAGAGUGUGGAAGAGGAUGGCUGGAAUUCCGGUGUAGCGGUGAAAUGCGUAGAUAUCGGGAGGAACACCAGUGGCGAAGGCGGGACAUCGUGGGCCAACACUGACGCUGAGGCGCGAAAGCUAGGGGAGCAAACAGGG